RNAcentral lists this ribosomal RNA (289 nucleotides) under uncultured bacterium. Its description in RNAcentral is "partial 16S ribosomal RNA". It matches the Rfam family "Bacterial small subunit ribosomal RNA", at positions 773 to 1060 of the family's 1533-position model. The record is from RNAcentral.
GUGGAUUAGAUACCCUGGUAGUCCUAGCCGUAAACAAUGGAUACUAGGUGUUGAACAGAUCGACCUGUGCAGUACCAAAGCUAACGCGUUAAGUAUCCCGCCUGGGAAGUAUGCACGCAAGUGUGAAACUCAAAGGAAUUGACGGGGGCCCGCACAAGCGGUGGAGCAUGUGGUUUAAUUCGAUGCAACGCGAAGAACCUUACCAGGGUUUGACAUGAUACGAAUUUCUUUGAAAGAAGAAAGUGCCUUUUGGAACGUAUACACAGGUGGUGCACGGCCGUCGACAACU